Molecule: long non-coding RNA, 1503 nt
Organism: Tigriopus californicus
Lineage: Eukaryota; Metazoa; Arthropoda; Copepoda; Harpacticoida; Harpacticidae
Exons: 3
Source: RefSeq, a predicted model, not a curated record
AAGUAAAAUAUCAAUAACAUAUGCAAAGAUGUCGGAGUACAUCACAUCCUUUGUUGACAAGACGAAAUUAAGAUCAGGGUGACUACUUGUCAAAAAGGCUUAGCAGAGACCUCCUUUUGAAGCAAAAGCCAAAUUGAGCGAGUUGAAACCGAGUCACUAGUAUCUUCAAAGGGCACGGGCAAUAAGUGCUUUAGAGUAGCUUUGGUUUCAGAGACAACGGGAAGGAACUUCAUGUUGUUGGCUGGACUUGGACUUGGACGCCAUUUCUGGGCUCCCAGAGGGUUUGUCAGGCAAUGAAAAGAAAAGAAGGAAGCCUUGUGACUGUCUUUUUGUGUCUAGCUUAUUUCCCUUUAGACUCCCCUCAAGUUUGUUAGGAGUCAAGUUAAGGUUCCACUCGUUAGGAAAUAUGAGACCUGACAAGCAAACGGACUUUCAUUUGUCCAGAGCGGAGCUUAGAAGAGGGAUUUUCGUAAACAUCCCAUGAUUUUCAUCCACUCCUCGUCGAGGAAAAGUUUUCGAGGUCAGAACCAACCAGCGACAAGCGACAAAACCGAUUCGACUCGGCCAAGGUUGAAGUUGUUAAGCUGGCCUUUUCUUAGGGCAAAGGGUGCUUUCAUGCAUUACCCUUAAAGGCUUUCAUAGAUCCAAUGACGAGCUUUCCAAACCUGAGAAAUUGAUCCCAGAAUUGGAAUUGACGUCGCCCUCGUCGCUAACUUGGGAAGUGACCAGGAUUUGGCUUCAAAGUCACAAAACUAGUUCCAUUUUCGUCCCGUUUCCCAUGUUUGUGGAUUUGAGGUCAGCCCAGGCAAAGAGAAUGGAUCUGUGUCUAAGAGGAUUGCAAAAGGUCGUUCCUCCAUCGGCCUUUACCAGCAUUGGAUUCGAUCCACGUUACUGGCCUUGAAAGCGACUAAGGAGUGGGCGAAGGGGCGAAAAAAGCCGACUUCUCGACGAGAGACUCCAAUCGACCUGGCUUCCAUCGAGUUCAAGCAGAAACAUAUAAAAUGGAUUUGGAGCCCACACUAGUGCUUGACUGGGUUCUAGACUGCAAGUAAACCGUAUUGCCUUAAAACCGUGAACAUACUUCCCCAAUGGACCAAAAUCUGUCUGCUUUAUUCCAGCUUCUACUAGUGCGUAAAUACGAACAGCUCAUACAGAAGAUCAUGGUAGCACUGCAUAGAGCUAGACUCGAGGAGCUGCCUCAAUCCUGGCUUCAAAUUGGCUCUCGCACGCAAUGCGAUGUCAGAUGCUGCAAAAUGAGCGGGUGGUCGGUCGUUCCACAUUCCUUGUUACCCAGUAGAAGGCCCGGAUGUGUCUUCUGGUAUCGAUUUGAUUCGGCGGGCACUUGAUCGUCUGGUAGAUUUUAUUCCCCAGACAAUCGUGCUCUUGACGACGGCUUGAUAGUUGCCUCUCGAGCCGUGCUUCCUGCUCCCAAGAGACUUGAAAACGAGUGUUUUUAUACAAAUCCCGUGAUCAUUACAUACGAAACAUCCAUUAGAUGCCAUU